UACAGAGGGUGCGAGCGUUAAUCGGAAUUACUGGGCGUAAAGCGCACGUAGGCGGCUUGGUAUGUCGGGUGUGAAAUCCCCGGGCUCAACCUGGGAACUGCAUUUGUGACUGCAUGGCUAGAGUACGGCAGAGGGGGAUGGAAUUCCGCGUGUAGCAGUGAAAUGCGUAGAGAUGUGGAGGAACACCGAUGGCGAAGGCAGCCCCCUGGGCUGAGAUUGACGCUCAGGCACGAAAGCGUGGGGAGCAAACAGG
Molecule: ribosomal RNA, 253 nt
Filed under: uncultured bacterium
Lineage: Bacteria
Description: partial 16S ribosomal RNA
Rfam family: Bacterial small subunit ribosomal RNA
Source: RNAcentral